RNAcentral lists this ribosomal RNA (381 nucleotides) under uncultured bacterium. Its description in RNAcentral is "bacterial SSU rRNA". It matches the Rfam family "Bacterial small subunit ribosomal RNA", at positions 28 to 406 of the family's 1533-position model. The record is from RNAcentral.
GACGAACGCUUGCGACGUGCCUGAGAAAUGCAAGUCGAGCGGACAGAGUCCUUUCGGGGAUUUUGUUAGCGGCGAACGGUCGAGUAACACGUAACCAACUUGCCCCAGAGUCUGGGAUAGCCCUUCGAAAGAGGGAGUAAUACCGGAUGGUCUCCUGUGAAGACAUCUUUAUGGGAGUAAAGGCUUGUAUGCUUUGGGAGAGGGUUGCGUCCUAUCAGCUGGUUGGCGGGGUAACGGCCCACCAAGGCGACGACGGGUAGCUGGUCUGAGAGGAUGAUCAGCCGGAUUGGGACUGAGACACGGGCCCAAACUCCGUACGGGGGGCAGCAAUCAGGAAUCUUGCGCAAUGGGGCAACCCUGACGCAGCGACGUCGCGUGGAG